UACCAUCUCACUGCUGCUCGCUUCU
Molecule: non-coding RNA, 25 nt
Filed under: Rattus norvegicus (Norway rat)
Lineage: Eukaryota; Metazoa; Chordata; Mammalia; Rodentia; Muridae
Source: RNAcentral